AUUGAACGCUGGCGGCAGGCCUAACACAUGCAAGUCGAGCGGAUGAAGGGAGCUUGCUCCUGGAUUCAGCGGCGGACGGGUGAGUAAUGCCUAGGAAUCUGCCUGGUAGUGGGGGAUAACGUCCGGAAACGGGCGCUAAUACCGCAUACGUCCUGAGGGAGAAAGUGGGGGAUCUUCGGACCUCACGCUCUCAGAUGAGCCUAGGUCGGAUUAGCUAGUUGGUGGGGUAAAGGCCUACCAAGGCGACGAUCCGUAACUGGUCUGAGAGGAUGAUCAGUCACACUGGAACUGAGACACGGUCCAGACUCCUACGGGAGGCAGCAGUGGGGAAUAUUGGACAAUGGGCGAAAGCCUGAUCCAGCCAUCCCGCGUGUGUGAAGAAGGUCUUCGGAUUGUAAAGCACUUUAAGUUGGGAGGAAGGGCAGUAAGUUAAUACCUUGCUGUUUUGACGUUACCAACAGAAUAAGCACCGGCUAACUUCGUG
Molecule: ribosomal RNA, 484 nt
Filed under: uncultured bacterium
Lineage: Bacteria
Description: partial 16S ribosomal RNA
Rfam family: Bacterial small subunit ribosomal RNA
Source: RNAcentral